Non-coding RNA from Arenimonas donghaensis DSM 18148 = HO3-R19, 354 nucleotides. It matches the Rfam family "Bacterial RNase P class A". Rfam says of the family: Ribonuclease P (RNase P) is a ubiquitous endoribonuclease, found in archaea, bacteria and eukarya as well as chloroplasts and mitochondria. Its best characterised activity is the generation of mature 5'-ends of tRNAs by cleaving the 5'-leader elements of precursor-tRNAs. NCBI's taxonomy places the organism in Bacteria, Pseudomonadati, Pseudomonadota, Gammaproteobacteria, Lysobacterales, Lysobacteraceae. The record is from Rfam.
GGAGUCGGCCGAGGCAGUCGCGUCGCAGCAAUGCGCCGAGGAAAGUCCGGGCUCCAUAGAGCAGGGUGCCAGGUAACGCCUGGGCGGCGUGAGCCGACGGAAAGUGCAACAGAAAACAAACCGCCGAACGGCCCGCAAGGGUGCGUGGUAAGGGUGAAACGGUGGGGUAAGAGCCCACCGCCCGGGGGGACAACGCCCCGGGGCACGGCAAACCCCACCUGGAGCAAGGCCAAAUAGGGGUGCGAUGGCAUGGCUCGUGCCGCACCCGGGUUGGCUGCUUGAGGCCUGCGGUGACGCAGGUCCCAGAGGAAUGACUGUCCACGACAGAACCCGGCUUAAUGGCCGGCUCCGCCA